CCAGACUCCUACGGGAGGCAGCAGUGAGGAAUAUUGGUCAAUGGCCGAGAGGCUGAACCAGCCAAGUCGCGUGAGGGAAGAAUGUCCUAUGGAUUGUAAACCUCUUUUGCCAGGGAGCAAAGUCACCCACGUGUGGGUGUUGGAGAGUACCUGAAGAAAAAGCAUCGGCUAACUCCGUGCCAGCAGCCGCGGUAAUACGGAGGAUGCGAGCGUUAUCCGGAUUUAUUGGGUUUAAAGGGUGCGCAGGCGGCAGCGCAGGUCAGUGGUAAAAUUGGGGGCCUCAACCUCCCCCCGCCGUUGAAACUGCGUUUCUUGAGUGGGCGAGAAGUACGCGGAAUGCGUGGUGUAGCGGUGAAAUGCAUAGAUAUCACGCAGAACUCCGAUUGCGAAGGCAGCGUACCGGCGCCCAACUGACGCUCAUGCACGAAAGCGUGGGUAUCGAACAGGAUUAGAUACCCGAGUA
This 463-nucleotide ribosomal RNA is filed under the name uncultured bacterium. RNAcentral's name for it is "bacterial SSU rRNA". It matches the Rfam family "Bacterial small subunit ribosomal RNA", at positions 331 to 792 of the family's 1533-position model. The record is from RNAcentral.